RNAcentral lists this transfer RNA (71 nucleotides) under Candidatus Levyibacteriota bacterium. RNAcentral's name for it is "tRNA-Trp". It matches the Rfam family "tRNA". Rfam says of the family: Transfer RNA (tRNA) molecules are approximately 80 nucleotides in length. Their secondary structure includes four short double-helical elements and three loops (D, anti-codon, and T loops). Lineage: Bacteria; Candidatus Levyibacteriota. The record is from RNAcentral.
AGGGAUGUGAUGAAAUGGUAUCAUGGGGGUCUCCAAAACCCCUCUUCUGGGUUCGAGCCCCGGCAUCCCUG